This is a long non-coding RNA of Periophthalmus magnuspinnatus, 1660 nucleotides long. RefSeq lists it as uncharacterized. Lineage: Eukaryota; Metazoa; Chordata; Actinopteri; Gobiiformes; Gobiidae. The record is from RefSeq and is a predicted model, not a curated record. The transcript has 3 exons.
GUGCAGAUCGUGGUGGUGCAGACCGUGGUGGAGGAGCUUCCUGGUCGUCUGGAGACCGUCCUGGCUGAGUCUGGCUCUUCGUGGGGCAGAGGCGGCUCGUGCGUUUGGCUCCAGCUGUUCUCAGGAAGAACUGCAUCCUGGUCAUGGACGAGGCCACGGCCGACAAGGACCUGAGGUCGAGCUGAUCCAGCAGACCAUGAGAGAAAAGUUUAAAGAACGCACCGCGCUCACCGUCGCACGUCGGCUCAACACCGUCAUCCACAGCGACCGCAUCCUGGACCUUUAACCCAGAGAGAGUGAGCCUGUCCUGGGUUAGACAGUUCAUGAUGGUCCCCUGGUUCUCCACCUCCAGGGAGAGCUGAGUCUUAAACCAGUUCAAAAUGAGCUUCAAAUAUCAAGCAGGAGUUGGAUGAAUCAGCGCGUACGCUGAGCCCUACACUCUGCUACACGACCACGACAGUGUCUUCUACAAAAUGGUGCAGCAGACGGGCAAACGGGAGGCACUGGCGUUACUAGAAGCAGCUGAACGGGUGAGUGAGCCACGGACCGCACCCGACGCAUGUCCAGGGUCGUUCCUGGACGAGGGUCGCUGGUCCUAAAGCCUCACACUGUCAGGAUUAGAAAUAUAGAGUAAAAUGUCUGUGUAAUCCCUGAGUCGUCCAGGUCUGGUUUGAAGCAAAAGAUGAAGUUCAAUCUGUCGUCUGGACAAAACUUUUGGCUGCUCAUUUGUGGUCAGAUUACUGCUGGACACUGCCUUAUAGCUCCUCUCUUCAGACUGUUGACUACACUGAAACUACAAACACCUAUUGUUUACAGUUUGUUUUUUUCUUGGCUCGGGCUGUAAACGGUAAGUGUGUUAGUUUGAGUGUAGUUCGCUCCUCUCUUCAGACACACAUUAUUUGCGAUGGAUCAGACCUGGACAACUGGGGGACGACAGACGGGCUGCAGUGUCACACCCACAGUUUAACAACAGUAUUAUUAUUGGUUUGGACCGUUUACUUCAGGGGCCAACUCCUGAUCUCACCAUUUUUAGACAUGAAUGUGUUGAUUUAAUGUUGUAAACGAUGGAGGACUAUCGGACGCCUCGAGGAGGAAGCUUCACCAACACUGUUCACAGUGAGAGAGCUGCUGACCUCCACUGGGGUCGGGCGGUGGAAGGACUUUGAGGAUCUCCUCAAUCCCCCCGUCAUGUCUUCUGAGGAGGACUUGUCCAUCACCCUGGCGGAAGUCACCGAGGUGGUUGGCGAGCUCCUCAAGUCUCUGGAUGUUGUGGGUCUUGGCUGACACGUCUCUACAACAUCUCAUAGCGGUCAGGGACAGUACCUCUGGACUGGCAGACCGGGGUGGUCCCUCUGUAUAAGAAGGGGGACCGGAGUGUUCCAGUUACAGGGGAAUCACACUCCCCCUUCCCGGUAAGGUCUACUCCAGGGACUGGAGAGGAGAAUCUGACUGAUAGUCGAACCUCAGAGGAGCAGUGUGGUUUUGGUCCCGGUCGUGGGACACUGGACCAGCUCUAUACUCUCCAUCGGGUCCUCGAGGCUCAUGGGAGUUUGCUCAACCCCAGGAGUAAAGUUGACAAACAGGCCCAUUCAGUCAAACGAGUAUUAAACUCCAGCAGAGGCUUUAGGACCACGUCCCUGUAGAGUCGACUUUAACGCCU